CUGUUCGCCAAUUAAAGUGGUACGUGAGCUGGGUUCAAAACGUCGUGAGACAGUUUGGUCCUCUAUCCGCUGUGGGCGUAGGAGAUUUGAGGGGUUCAUUCCCUAGUACGAGAGGACCGGGAAUGACGAGCCUCUGGUGUUCCGGUUAUCAUGUCAAUGGUAGCGCCGGGUAGCUAAGCUCGGAAUGGAUAAGCGCUGAAAGCAUCUAAGCGCCAAGCCGUUCCCAAGAUAAGAUCUCCCUGAAGAGUCCUAGAAGACCACUAGGUUGAUAGGCUGGAUGUGUAAGUGCAGUAAUGCAUUGAGCUAACCAGUACUAAUGGCUCGUUCGUUUUGUUUUGGAAAAU
This 344-nucleotide ribosomal RNA is filed under the name Opitutia bacterium. RNAcentral describes it as "bacterial LSU rRNA". It matches the Rfam family "Bacterial large subunit ribosomal RNA", at positions 2577 to 2925 of the family's 2925-position model. The record is from RNAcentral. Lineage: Bacteria; Pseudomonadati; Verrucomicrobiota; Opitutia.